UGGCCUUAGAGAGAGCUGCUACUCCUUGUCCUUCCUUCCUCCUACAAAGAGUUUCCUCGAUUGUUUCCCAAAUCCAAGAUGAGAGUUUUCUUCAUCCUGGUCUUCUUCUUCAUCCUGGCUACAUGUCUAGGAGCCCCCAAAACAGCAACCAUUUUGACAACAACAAGGAGCCGUGCCUUCGUCCCAACAAAGACCAUAUAACCGCAAAACCCAAAAACUCAGCUUAAUUGCCACAGAUGCCUGUGCCAUAUAUAUGGGAUGCACUGCAACCACAGGUUCAACAGUGGUUCAGAUGUGCCUCUACAAUGAAAGAUAAUGGUACGUCUACCGUUGUCAAUGCGCUAUUAUUUUGAUAUUCUCACACAGAGGAACCUGAUUAAAUCUCUUAAUAUGUUAAUGAAUCUGAAUAAACCUCGCACAUAACCA
This is a long non-coding RNA of Thamnophis elegans (Western terrestrial garter snake), 426 nucleotides long. RefSeq lists it as uncharacterized. Lineage: Eukaryota; Metazoa; Chordata; Lepidosauria; Squamata; Natricidae. The record is from RefSeq and is a predicted model, not a curated record. The transcript has 4 exons.